GACGAACGCUGGCGGCGUGCUUAACACAUGCAAGUCGAGCGGUAAGGCCCUUUCGGGGUACGACGAGCGGCGAACGGGUGAGUAACACGUGGGUGACCUGCCCUCAGCUCUGGGAUAAGCCUGGGAAACCGGGUCUAAUACUGGAUAUGACUCCAUGACGCAUGUUGUGGGGUGGAAAGCCUUGUGCGGCUGAGGAUGGGCCCGCGGCCUAUCAGCUUGUUGGUGGGGUGAGGCCUACCAAGGCGACGACGGGUAGCCGGCCUGAGAGGGCGACCGGCCACACUGGGACUGAGACACGGCCCAGACUCCUACGGGAGGCAGCGAGUGGGGAAUCUUGCGCAAUGGGCGAAAGCCUGACGCAGCGACGCC
Molecule: ribosomal RNA, 369 nt
Filed under: uncultured bacterium
Lineage: Bacteria
Description: bacterial SSU rRNA
Rfam family: Bacterial small subunit ribosomal RNA
Source: RNAcentral